GACGAACGCUGGCGGCGUGCUUAACACAUGCAAGUCGAACGGUAAGGCCCUUCGGGGUACACGAGUGGCGAACGGGUGAGUAACACGUGGGUGAUCUGCCCUGCACUUCGGGAUAAGCCUGGGAAACUGGGUCUAAUACCGGAUAGGACCACUGCCUGCAUGGGUGGUGGUGGAAAGCUUUUGCGGUGUGGGAUGGGCCCGCGGCCUAUCAGCUUGUUGGUGGGGUGAUGGCCUACCAAGGCGACGACGGGUAGCCGGCCUGGGAGGGUGACCGGCCACACUGGGAAUGAGAUACGGCCCAGACUCCUACGGGAGGCAGCAGUGGGGAAUAUUGCACAAUGGGCGCAAGCCUGAUUCGGCGACGCCGCGUGAGGGAUGACGGCCUUCGGGUUGUAAACCUCUUUCAGCACCGACGAAGCGCAAGUGACGGUAGGUGCAGAAGAAGGACCGGCCAACUACGUGCCAGCAGCCGCCGUAA
RNAcentral lists this ribosomal RNA (478 nucleotides) under uncultured bacterium. RNAcentral's name for it is "partial 16S ribosomal RNA". It matches the Rfam family "Bacterial small subunit ribosomal RNA", at positions 28 to 523 of the family's 1533-position model. The record is from RNAcentral.